Molecule: ribosomal RNA, 392 nt
Filed under: uncultured bacterium
Lineage: Bacteria
Description: bacterial SSU rRNA
Rfam family: Bacterial small subunit ribosomal RNA
Source: RNAcentral
AUUGAACGCUGGCGGCAGGCCUAACACAUGCAAGUCGAGCGGUAGAGAGGUGCUUGCAUCUCUUGAGAGCGGCGGACGGGUGAGUAAUGCCUAGGAAUCUGCCUAGUGGUGGGGGAUAACGUUCGGAAACGGACGCUAAUACCGCAUACGUCCUACGGGAGAAAGCGGGGGGAUCUUCGGACCUCGCGCCAUUAGAUGAGCCUAGGUCGGAUUAGCUAGUUGGUGAGGUAAUGGCUCACCAAGGCGACGAUCCGUAACUGGUCUGAGAGGAUGAUCAGUCACACUGGAACUGAGACACGGUCCAGACUCCUACGGGAGGCAGCGAGUGGGGAAUAUUGGACAAUGGGCGAAAGGACCUGAUCCAGCCAUGCCGCGUGUGUGAAGAAGGUCUU